Molecule: RNA transcript, 5289 nt
Organism: Mus musculus (house mouse)
Lineage: Eukaryota; Metazoa; Chordata; Mammalia; Rodentia; Muridae
Gene: Slc12a3
Gene name: solute carrier family 12, member 3
Exons: 25
Source: RefSeq, marked validated
ACCCUGGCAGAGACCCUGCUCACUUGCCAUGGGCGGUCUGGACCAAGCUCCCGCCUCCUCCCAGCCUAUAAAGCCACCCUCAGUGCCCUUGCCCACUCUUGUCCCCUCCUUUGAUACCCAGAGCCAUAAUGGCAGAGCUCCCCGUGACAGAGCUGCCUGGCGAUGCUCUGUGCAGUGGGCGCUUCACCAUCAGCACACUGAUGGGAGGCGAUGAGCCCCCACCAGCUGCCUGUGACAGCAGCCAGCCCAGCCACUUAACACACGGCAGCACCUUAUACAUGCGCACCUUCGGUUACAACACCAUAGACGUGGUGCCGGCCUACGAACACUAUGCUAACAGCGCUCUGCCCGGUGAGCCCCGGAAGGUGCGGCCCACCCUGGCUGACCUGCAUUCAUUCCUCAAGCAGGAAGGUAGCCACCUGCAUGCCCUGGCCUUUGAUGGACGGCAAGGUCGUGAGCUGACUGAUGGACUUGUGGAAGAUGAGACAGGCACCAACAGUGAGAAGAGCCCUGGAGAACCUGUUCGCUUCGGCUGGGUCAAGGGGGUGAUGAUCCGUUGCAUGCUCAACAUCUGGGGAGUGAUCCUCUACCUGCGACUCCCCUGGAUUACGGCGCAGGCGGGCAUCGUGCUGACUUGGCUCAUCAUCCUGCUGUCGGUCAUGGUGACAUCCAUCACCGGCCUCUCCAUCUCCGCCAUCUCUACCAAUGGCAAGGUCAAGUCGGGUGGCACCUAUUUCCUUAUUUCCCGGAGUCUGGGACCAGAGCUGGGAGGCUCCAUUGGCCUCAUCUUCGCCUUUGCCAAUGCUGUGGGUGUGGCCAUGCACACUGUGGGCUUUGCAGAAACCGUAAGGGACCUACUGCAGCUGGCCUGCUCCCCCACUCAGGAGUAUGGCACACCCAUCGUAGACCCCAUCAAUGACAUCCGCAUCAUCGGUGUGGUCACGGUCACUGUGCUGCUGGCCAUCUCGCUGGCUGGGAUGGAGUGGGAGUCCAAGGCCCAGGUGCUAUUCUUUCUUGUCAUCAUGGUCUCCUUUGCCAACUACCUGGUGGGCACACUGAUCCCAGCAUCUGAAGACAAAGCCUCUAAAGGCUUCUACAGCUACCAUGGGGACAUUUUUGUUCAGAACCUGGUACCCGACUGGAGAGGCAUUGAUGGUAGCUUCUUUGGCAUGUUCUCCAUCUUCUUCCCUUCGGCCACUGGCAUUCUGGCAGGGGCCAACAUCUCCGGGGACCUCAAGGAUCCUGCUGUAGCCAUCCCCAAGGGAACACUCAUGGCCAUUUUCUGGACCACCAUCUCCUACCUUGCCAUCUCAGCUACCAUCGGCUCCUGUGUGGUGAGAGAUGCCUCUGGGGAUGUGAACGACACCAUGACUCCUGGUCCAGGCCCCUGCGAAGGGCUAGCCUGUGGCUAUGGCUGGAACUUCACAGAAUGCUCCCAGCAGCGCAGUUGCCGCUAUGGCCUCAUCAACUACUACCAGACCAUGAGCAUGGUGUCUGCCUUCGCACCCCUGAUCACAGCCGGCAUCUUUGGCGCCACCCUGUCUUCUGCCUUGGCCUGUCUUGUCUCGGCUGCUAAGGUCUUCCAGUGCCUGUGUGAAGACCAGCUGUACCCUCUGAUUGGCUUUUUUGGCAAAGGCUAUGGCAAGAACAGGGAGCCUGUGCGUGGCUACCUGCUGGCCUAUGCCAUUGCUGUGGCCUUCAUCAUCAUUGCUGAACUUAACACCAUCGCCCCCAUCAUUUCCAACUUCUUCCUCUGCUCCUACGCCCUCAUCAAUUUCAGCUGCUUCCAUGCCUCCAUCACCAACUCACCUGGAUGGAGACCCUCCUUCCGAUACUACAGCAAGUGGGCGGCGCUGUUUGGGGCAGUGAUCUCGGUGGUCAUCAUGUUCCUGCUUACCUGGUGGGCUGCUCUCAUUGCCAUCGGAGUCGUCCUCUUCCUCCUGCUCUAUGUGAUCUACAAGAAGCCAGAGGUGAACUGGGGUUCCUCAGUACAGGCUGGCUCCUACAAUCUGGCCCUGAGCUACUCCGUGGGCCUCAACGAGGUGGAAGACCACAUCAAGAACUACCGCCCCCAGUGCCUGGUGCUUACAGGGCCCCCCAACUUCCGCCCAGCCCUUGUGGACUUUGUGAGCACAUUUACCCAGAACCUAAGCCUAAUGAUUUGUGGUCAUGUGCUCAUUGGACCUGGCAAGCAGAGAGUGCCCGAGCUCCGGCUCAUCGCCAGUGGACACACCAAGUGGCUGAACAAGAGGAAGAUCAAGGCCUUCUACUCUGACGUCAUCGCUGAGGACUUGCGCAGUGGCGUCCAGAUUCUCAUGCAGGCCUCAGGGCUUGGGAGAAUGAAGCCGAACAUUCUGGUGGUUGGAUUCAAGAGGAACUGGCAGUCUGCCCACCCAGCCACAGUGGAGGACUACAUUGGUGUCCUGCAUGAUGCCUUUGACUUCAACUACGGGGUUUGUGUCAUGAGGAUGCGCGAGGGGCUCAAUGUCUCCGAGGCUCUGCAGACCCACAGUGAGUACCUGCUGCAUCUGAUGAGCCCUGUAAAAAACCAAUACCUUUUCUAAGCAGUGGAAGAGAGGGAAGUGUUAGUCGAGUCACAGACUCUGAGGUAGCCAAUUCUUAAUGGUUCCUUGGUGUCCGUCAGUUUCCAAAUGGAAGUGAGAUCCAGAAAGGGCACGUGACUGACCAGGGCAAGGUCAUACUUCCAGCUAGGGCCAGAAAGGAGACUAGAGUGCUCCAAGUCACUGCUGUGCUCUGAUAACCAGGUGGACCUGAUAGAGGAGAGGCAUCUAUAAACACCAUCAAGAAAAUACCUAAAGGCCAUGGGCUCUGACCAUUGGAUCUCAGGUCUGUCCUUGGCACUCAAAACAGAAACAUGUUUCGCGGCAUUUGCACCUGACUGUGAAGAUUCUGACUUAGUGAUAGACGUGGGGGAGACAAAGGGUGGUCAGGACUGGCAGACAUGCAGGCAGGAUUCUGUUCCUUGCAGGCAGAGGUAUUAUCACCCGGGACCAAAGAUAUUCUUAUGUCCACAGCAUCUAGACAACAAAUAUUUUUGCAAGCUUUGUGGCAGUCAUCGAUCAUACUCUAGGCAGGGAGCAAAAAGCUCCCUCACCCAGGGUGGCAAGCCUCCAGGGACAAAGCCGAUGCUGGAUGCUCAGCGUAAUGGACACACAGGUCACCUCAGACAUGAGAUUAUCCUGAGGAGACGGAUGCUCAGAGGCCCCUUUGAGGACAAGGCCUGGCUGAUGCCGAGGAGAACAGAGCUGGGGAAAGAAUGGCUUAGGUGCACAGGCCCGAUGCGCCCCCCAUACACACUAUGCAGUUAAUCCCAUGUUUGACCCCAGAGAGGGAGGCAAGGGAGCCUGUGGCCAUCUGUGCCCAGCAUGGGCCAGCCCCCCUUCCCCACCUGCUCAGAUCGGGGUACUCUUAUCCUAUGGGAAUGCUACUAUCAGGUUAUCCAGGAAUUUGGCCAAGAGUAAAUGGCUUUCUCUUGUGACAGUGGUGUCCUAAUCACCAAGGCUGGGUGACUAUAGGUUUUGGUUUCCUGUUGAAGAUGACCAGCCCGUGGUACAUUUAGUUCCACCCCUUGUAAGACUCCCUCUCAGUGUUCAAAUGCAGAGAGGAGCAGCAUGCAGUUGCCUUCCUUCAGGGGUGUGGGGGAAAGUGGCAGCUGGUAAGAGAUGUCCUGCUACAUCUGUGAGGGGAAGAAGAGGUACAGGAAGAUGGAUAUGCUCUAUCUGCAUGGGGAUGCUGCACAGGGAUGUUGUAUGGAGAUGCUGUGCGGGGAUGCUGUACAGGGAUGCUGCACAGGGAUGCUGCACAGGGAUGCUAUACAGGGAUGCUGCACAGGGAUGCUUCAGAGAGAUGCUGUACAGGGAUGCUGCAUGGGGAUAAUACACAGGGAUGCUGCACAGGGAUGCUGCAUAGGGAUGCUGCACAGGGAUGCUGCAUAGGGAUGCUGCACAGAGAUGCUGCACAGGGAUGCUGCACAGGGAUGCUUCAGAGAGAUGCUGUACAGGGAUGCUGCAUGGGGAUGCUUUGAUGGGACAGAGUUCUUCCAGCCAAUCGUCCCCCAGUGCCCAUCAGCAUCCAGGGAGAGGGAGCUGGGGGCCAGGAAAAGGUUCAAAUAGCACUAUAUGAAGUAUGGGAAGGGACAUUAGCUGUGUCUGGCCCAGCCUGCAGGAUGCUUCUGGCCACUGCAUGCUCACCUUGGUGACAACGGCUAGCCCACCUCUCUGGGAAAGCUGGCUAUUUUCAGGUGGGUCCUGGCAGCAAAUCUGCUGGCUCUGCUCUAACCUUCCCCUCCUGCAGCAACCCCAGAGGCAUUGAUACAAGAGGAGCAGGCUAGCACCAUCUUCCAGUCGGAGCAAGGCAAGAAGACCAUUGACAUCUACUGGCUGUUCGAUGAUGGAGGUCUCACCCUCCUCAUCCCCUAUCUCCUGCACCGCAAGAAGAGAUGGGGCAAAUGCAAGAUCCGAGUGUUUGUUGGGGGCCAGAUCAACAGGAUGGACGAAGAGAGAAAGGCGAACAUGUGGUAAGUGCUGAAAUCGCAAGACUCUUCAUGGACAGACUCAUGGAAUGGCAGGACAGAGGAUCAUCUCUCUGUUGAGCAAGUUCAGACUGGGAUUCCAUGAAGUUCACGUCCUUCCCGACAUCAACCAGAAGCCCCAGGCCGAGCACACCAAGCGGUUUGAGGACAUGAUUGCACCCUUCCGCCUCAAUGAUGGCUUCAAGGACGAGGCCACCGUCACUGAGAUGAGGAGGGACUGUCCCUGGAAGAUCUCAGAUGAAGAGAUUAACAAGAACAGAAUUAAGUCCCUUCGGCAGGUGAGACUGAGUGAGAUACUGCUGGAUUACUCUCGGGAUGCUGCUCUGAUCAUCCUUACCCUGCCCAUUGGAAGGAAGGGGAAGUGCCCCAGUUCGCUGUACAUGGCCUGGCUGGAGACCCUGUCCCAGGACCUCAGACCUCCCGUCCUCCUCAUCCGAGGCAACCAGGAGAAUGUGCUCACCUUUUACUGCCAGUGAUGCCUGGGGUGACGGGAACCGCCACCCAGAACCCCAAAGCUGAGGGCUUGGGAUAGAGUCAGAACGCACCCUCUCCAGCUGGAGAAGAGGCUUCAAGUUCUACUGUAUCAUCCCAUCCAUCAGCGCCUAUGCAGAAGAUGGGGUUUCCCGGCUGACUGAACCCCCAUCAGACACACUUUCUGGACCUUGAAGUUGCAUGGAAAAGUCUCUGGAAGAGUCUAUCUCUUUUUAAAAAAGCUUUUAUUUGUCUUGAUGACCAAA